This 299-nucleotide signal recognition particle RNA is filed under the name Aotus nancymaae (Ma's night monkey). RNAcentral's name for it is "Metazoan signal recognition particle RNA (ENSANAG00000013011.1)". It matches the Rfam family "Metazoan signal recognition particle RNA". Rfam says of the family: The signal recognition particle (SRP) is a universally conserved ribonucleoprotein. Lineage: Eukaryota; Metazoa; Chordata; Mammalia; Primates; Aotidae. The record is from RNAcentral.
GCCGGGCACAGUGGGACGUGCCUGUAGUCCCAGCUACUCAGGAGGCUGUGGUGGGAGGAUCGCCUGAACCCAGGAGUUCUGGGCUGAUGUGCACUAUGCCGAUCAGGUGUCUGCACUAAGUUCAUCAUCGAUAUGGUGACCUCCUGGGAGCAGGGGACCACUAGGUUGCCUAAGGAGGGGUGAACUGGCCCAGGUCAGAAAUGGAGCAGGUCAAAACUCCCGUGCUGAUCAGUAGUGGGAUCGUGCCUGUGAAUAGCCACUGCACUCCAGCCUGGGCAACAUAGCAAGACCCCGUCUCA